AACUUUGAUCUGGUUCAGGACGAACGCUGGCGGCGUGCCUAAUACAUGCAAGUCGAACGGCUUUCUACGGAAGCUUGACUUCCACUGAGAAGAUAGUGGCGAACGGGUGAGUAACACGUGGGUAACCUGCCCAUAAGAGGGGGAUAACAUCCGGAAACGGGUGCUAAUACCGCAUAGUUUUCUUGAUCGCAUGAUCGGGAAAGGAAAGACGGCCUUUGUGCUGUCGCUUAUGGAUGGACCCGCGGCGGUAUUAGGUUAGUUGGUGAGGUAACGGCUCACCAAGACGAUGAUACGUAGCCGACCUGAGAGGGUGAUCGGCCACAUUGGGACUGAGACACGGCCCAAACUCCUACGGGAGGCAGCAGUAGGGAAUCUUCCGCAAUGGACGAAAGUCUGACGGAGCAACGCCGCGUGAGUGAAAAGAAGGUUUUCGGAUCGUAAAACUCUGUUGUCAGAGAAGAACAAGUUGGAGACGUAACUCCGCUCCAGCCUUGACGGUAUCUGACCAGAAAGCCACGGCUAACUACGUGCCAGCCGCCGC
Molecule: ribosomal RNA, 541 nt
Filed under: uncultured bacterium
Lineage: Bacteria
Description: bacterial SSU rRNA
Rfam family: Bacterial small subunit ribosomal RNA
Source: RNAcentral